This 120-nucleotide ribosomal RNA is filed under the name Oryzias melastigma (Indian medaka). The record is from RNAcentral. Lineage: Eukaryota; Metazoa; Chordata; Actinopteri; Beloniformes; Adrianichthyidae.
GUGUAAGCCCAGGCCACUCUGGACACUCUGGAUCAUGUCUGCUCUUUAGAGCCAAGCAGGGUUAGGUCAGGUUAGUCCCAUUGAUUGUAUAUUAAAAUGGGAGUGAAAGAGUUUAACAUC